This is a long non-coding RNA of Pan troglodytes (chimpanzee), 585 nucleotides long. RefSeq lists it as uncharacterized. NCBI's taxonomy places the organism in Eukaryota, Metazoa, Chordata, Mammalia, Primates, Hominidae. The transcript is spliced from 3 exons. The record is from RefSeq and is a predicted model, not a curated record.
UCAUGGGGGUGGUUUCCCCCAUACCGUUCUUCUGGUAGUAAACAAGUCUCACAAGAGCUGAUGGUUUUAUGAAGGGUUUCCACAUUUGCAUCUUCCUCAUUUUCUCUUGCCGCCGCCACAUAAGAAGUGCCUUUCACCUCUCAUCAUGAUUCUGUGGCCUCCCCAGCCAUGUGGAACUUUUUUCUCUUGCUGCCACCAUGUAAGAAGUGCCUUUCACCUCGUGCCAUGAUUAUGAGGCUUCCCCAGCCAUGUGGAACUGUUGUUCUCAUUCGUGGCUGGAUCACACCAGCAAGAAGGAUUUUAAAGGACAACUCCUUGGGACCGUCCAACACUGAAACCGCCUGACCGCUGCUGUCUUUGUGCUUGCAGAAAAUCACGGUGGGCACAAAAUUUUGGACACGAUUUCGAGAGCGUGAGAGCUACUGUUCACGAAUCCAGGGCCAGCCUCGUGUCUGUCUUCCUUUAAAGCACCUGGCUUGGUACCUAAAAUGUUCCUUUUUUUUUUUGAAAUUCAAUAACUUCAUCAGAACAGGCGUUGAUGUAGACAGAUCUCCAUCUUUUUGGUUUUUUGAGUGAGUUUUUGCU